This 507-nucleotide ribosomal RNA is filed under the name uncultured bacterium. RNAcentral's name for it is "partial 16S ribosomal RNA". It matches the Rfam family "Bacterial small subunit ribosomal RNA", at positions 28 to 507 of the family's 1533-position model. The record is from RNAcentral.
GACGAACGCUGGCGGCGUGCCUAAUACAUGCAAGUCGAACGCAUUUUCUUUCACCGUAGCUUGCUACACCGAAAGAAAAUGAGUGGCGAACGGGUGAGUAACACGUGGGUAACCUGCCCAUCAGCGGGGGAUAACACUUGGAAACAGGUGCUAAUACCGCAUAAUUCCAUUUACCGCAUGGUAGAUGGGUGAAAGGCGCUUUUGCGUCACUGAUGGAUGGACCUGCGGUGCAUUAGCUAGUUGGUGGGGUAACGGCCUACCAAGGCUGCGAUGCAUAGCCGACCUGAGAGGGUGAUCGGCCACACUGGGACUGAGACACGGACCAGACUCCUACGGGAGGCAGCAGUAGGGAAUCUUCGGCAAUGGACGCAAGUCUGACCGAGCAACGCCGCGUGAGUGAAGAAGGGUUUCGGAUCGUAAAACUCUGUUGUUAGAGAAGAACAAGGAUGAGAGUGGAAAGUUCAUCCCUUGACGGUAUCUAACCAGAAAGCCACGGCUAACUACGUG